RNAcentral lists this ribosomal RNA (301 nucleotides) under uncultured bacterium. Its description in RNAcentral is "partial 16S ribosomal RNA". It matches the Rfam family "Bacterial small subunit ribosomal RNA", at positions 509 to 807 of the family's 1533-position model. The record is from RNAcentral.
CAGUCGCCGCGGUAAUACGUAGGUGGCAAGCGUUGUCCGGAAUUAUUGGGCGUAAAGGGCUCGCAGGCGGUUUCUUAAGUCUGAUGUGAAAGCCCCCGGCUCAACCGGGGAGGGUCAUUGGAAACUGGGAGACUUGAGUGCAGAAGAGGAGAGUGGAAUUCCACGUGUAGCGGUGAAAUGCGUAGAGAUGUGGAGGAACACCAGUGGCGAAGGCGACUCUCUGGUCUGUAACUGACGCUGAGGAGCGAAAGCGUGGGGAGCGAACAGGAUUAGAUACCCCGGUAGUCCCUGUCUCUUAUAC